RNAcentral lists this transfer RNA (67 nucleotides) under Architeuthis dux (giant squid). RNAcentral describes it as "tRNA-Thr". It matches the Rfam family "tRNA". From Rfam's summary of the family: Transfer RNA (tRNA) molecules are approximately 80 nucleotides in length. Their secondary structure includes four short double-helical elements and three loops (D, anti-codon, and T loops). Lineage: Eukaryota; Metazoa; Mollusca; Cephalopoda; Oegopsida; Architeuthidae. The record is from RNAcentral.
GUUAUAAUAGUUUAAUAGUAAAACUUUGGUCUUGUAAACCAACAUUAGAUUAUAUAUCUUUAUAACU